This 429-nucleotide ribosomal RNA is filed under the name Actinomycetes bacterium. RNAcentral's name for it is "Actinobacteria bacterium partial 16S ribosomal RNA". It matches the Rfam family "Bacterial small subunit ribosomal RNA", at positions 355 to 776 of the family's 1533-position model. Lineage: Bacteria; Bacillati; Actinomycetota; Actinomycetes. The record is from RNAcentral.
UAGGGACUCUUCCGCAAUGGGCGAAAGCCUGACGGAGCAACGCCGCGUGAGUGAUGAAGGUCUUCGGAUCGUAACACUCUGUUAUUAGGGAAGAACAAAUGUGUAAGUAACUAUGCACGUCUUGACGGUACCUAAUCAGAAAGCCACGGCUAACUACGUGCCAGCAGCCGCGGUAAUACGUAGGUGGCAAGCGUUAUCCGGAAUUAUUGGGCGUAAAGCGCGCGUAGGCGGUUUUUUAAGUCUGAUGUGAAAGCCCACGGCUCAACCGUGGAGGGUCAUUGGAAACUGGAAAACUUGAGUGCAGAAGAGGAAAGUGGAAGUCCAUGUGUAGCGGUGAAAUGCGCAGAGAUAUGGAGGAACACCAGUGGCGAAGGCGACUUUCUGGUCUGUAACUGACGCUGAUGUGCGAAAGCGUGGGGAUCAAACAGG